GAUGAACGCUGGCGGCGUGCCUAAUACAUGCAAGUCGAGCGAACGGACGAGAAGCUUGCUUCUCUGAUGUUAGCGGCGGACGGGUGAGUAACACGUGGAUAACCUACCUAUAAGACUGGGAUAACUUCGGGAAACCGUAGCUAAUACCGGCUAAUAUUUUGAACCGCAUGGUUCAAAAGUGAAAGACGGUCUUGCUGUCACUUAUAGAUGUAUCCGCGCUGCAUUAGCUAGUUGGUAAGGUAACGGCUUACCAAGGCAACGAUGCAUAGCCGACCUGAGAGGGUGAUCGGCCACACUGGAACUGAGACACGGUCCAGACUCCUACGGGAGGCAGCAGUAGGGAAUCUUCCGCAAUGGGCGAAAGCCUGACGGAGCAACGCCGCGUGAGUGAUGAAGGUCUUCGGAUCGUAAAACUCUGUUAUUAGGGAAGAACAUAUGUGUAAGUAACUGUGCACAUCUUGACGGUACCUAAUCAGAAAGCCACGGCUAGCUACGUG
RNAcentral lists this ribosomal RNA (497 nucleotides) under uncultured bacterium. RNAcentral describes it as "partial 16S ribosomal RNA". It matches the Rfam family "Bacterial small subunit ribosomal RNA", at positions 28 to 507 of the family's 1533-position model. The record is from RNAcentral.